RNAcentral lists this ribosomal RNA (247 nucleotides) under uncultured bacterium. Its description in RNAcentral is "partial 16S ribosomal RNA". It matches the Rfam family "Bacterial small subunit ribosomal RNA", at positions 31 to 305 of the family's 1533-position model. The record is from RNAcentral.
GUACGCUGGCGGCACGCCUAACACAUGCAAGUCGAACGAAGUAGCAAUACUUAGUGGCAGACGGGUGAGUAACAUGUGGGUAUCUACCCUUUGGCCUGGAAUAACACGAGGAAACUUGUGCUAAUACCGGAUAAGUCUUCACGGAGAAAGCUUUAUGCACCAUUGGAUGAGCCUGCACUUGAUUAGUUUGUUGGUGGGGUAAUGGCCUACCAAGACUUUGAUCAAUAGCUGAUUUGAGAGGAUGAUA